GUGCUCUCUCCAGCAGCAUGUAUGCUAAAACUUAGAACAAUACGGAGAAGAUGAGCACAGUCCCUGCAUAACGAUGACACAUAAAUCUGUGAAGCAUUCCAUAGUUCU
Sorex araneus (European shrew) is the source of this 108-nucleotide small nuclear RNA. The record is from Ensembl. Lineage: Eukaryota; Metazoa; Chordata; Mammalia; Eulipotyphla; Soricidae.